Molecule: long non-coding RNA, 386 nt
Organism: Ipomoea triloba (trilobed morning glory)
Lineage: Eukaryota; Viridiplantae; Streptophyta; Magnoliopsida; Solanales; Convolvulaceae
Exons: 3
Source: RefSeq, a predicted model, not a curated record
CAAUUGAUGUUGGAAGAUCAUUUCAUGCUUAGAUUCUCCUAUCUAUUGUGCACAAUGUAGAGAUAGAUUUGUUUGUAGUUUCAGAUGUUAAAUGGUUCACACUAAAUAUUUUUCUUGAAAAUUUUACAGUAAUUACUUUGCUGGCUUUUAUGCUGGAGUUUUAUCUGAUAAUGUAGCUCAUGCAACUGUAGGAAUGGAUUGCUCCAAGGCCAAUGCACUUGCAUUUACUAAAUGGAGCUCUACAACAUCCAAGUUCUGCUGAACAAGAAUCUGAUCUGUGGUCUCCUUUGCCUAAUCAAGGAAGGAAGCCUUGUGCUGCUCAAAAUAACCCUUCUUUGCCAAAGAAGUCUCUGGGAUAUAUACAGGUGUUUCUUGAUGGGGGUUUG